Molecule: ribosomal RNA, 467 nt
Filed under: uncultured bacterium
Lineage: Bacteria
Description: partial 16S ribosomal RNA
Rfam family: Bacterial small subunit ribosomal RNA
Source: RNAcentral
GACGAACGCUGGCGGCGUGCUUAACACAUGCAAGUCGAACGGAAAGGCUCCAGCUUGCUGGAGUACUCGAGUGGCGAACGGGUGAGUAACACGUGGGUAAUCUGCCCUGCACUCUGGGAUAAGCCUGGGAAACUGGGUCUAAUACUGGAUAUGACCUUUCUCCUUAUGGGGUUUGGUGGAAAGUUUUUCGGUGUAGGAUGAGCCCGCGGCCUAUCAGCUUGUUGGUGGGGUGAUGGCCUACCAAGGCGACGACGGGUAGCCGGCCUGAGAGGGUGAUCGGCCACAUUGGGACUGAGAUACGGCCCAGACUCCUACGUGAGGCAGCAGUGGGGAGUAUUGCACAAUGGGCGGAAGCCUGAUGCAGCGACGCCGCGUGAGGGAUGACGGCCUUCGGGUUGUAAACCUCUUUCAGCAGGGACGAAGCGUAAGUGACGGUACCUGCAGAAGAAGCACCGGCUAACUAUGUG